Molecule: ribosomal RNA, 253 nt
Filed under: uncultured bacterium
Lineage: Bacteria
Description: partial 16S ribosomal RNA
Rfam family: Bacterial small subunit ribosomal RNA
Source: RNAcentral
UACAGAGGUGGCAAGCGUUGUUCGGAAUUACUGGGCGUAAAGGGCGCGUAGGCGGCCCGUCAAGUCCCGUGUGAAAGCCCCCGGCUCAACCGGGGAACUGCACGGGAAACUAGCAGGCUUGAGUUUGGGAGAGGGACGCGAAAUUCCAGGUGUAGCGGUGAAAUGCGUAGAUAUCUGGAGGAACACCGGUGGCGAAGGCGGCGUCCUGGACCAACACUGACACUGAGGAGCGAAAGCCAGGGGAGCAAACGGG